Non-coding RNA from Rattus norvegicus (Norway rat), 1151 nucleotides. The record is from RefSeq and is a predicted model, not a curated record. Lineage: Eukaryota; Metazoa; Chordata; Mammalia; Rodentia; Muridae.
GCGCGCGCGCAGGCGUGGUAACAGAGAGGAUGGCUGAAAGGGAGACAGCCGGGAGAGGGCGGCUUGCGGACCGCAUGGCAGAGUAGCAGCUCGAGCGAGCGGAUCCGGCUCUCGCUUUUACCACACACACAUCUGCAACGCACACGUGUGGUGUUUUGUACAUAGUAAGAGCAUAAUAAGUAGUAACGGAUAGAACAGCUAUCAUGCAGUUAUCCAGUUUUCACUUCAACCAGAAUCUUCAGGCCAACCUUGAUCAAAUCACAGCUCUCGCUGGACCUGCGACUCUACUGCUUCUUCAUUCUUCUCUCUGACAACACGUUAACGUAGAGAUCCUGCCCCUACGGACCACAGCAUUGAGGUUACGAGCAGUUUUAGACCGUUCAGAGGACUUGUCGCCCGUGACAGACCCAAGGCAAAAUUUACCCACAGGUGCUUCCAAGCUCCCAGAAGUUGGCUUCAGACCCACGCGCGCAACUUGCCGAGAUUAACCAGAACGACUCCCUGAGACCUAGACACAUAGAAAGGCUCAGAGAGGUUCCCACUCCCCUGGUCCUCAUCCAAUAGCUUUCCAGCUGUUUCAUUUGCUAAUUCAUGUACAAGUUAUUCUUGUAGCUGGGCCAAGACCACUGAACCUGAAAGAAGGAGGCCCACGUGCUCCAUGACGAAGUCUGGUAGCGAGGCCGGGAACUCCCUUAACAGGCUGUGGGCAUGCGUGGCUCUGCAUGGAAUUGGCAUGUACAGAGUGGGGUGGUUUAUUCUCAUCCUCGCCCAGAGACGCUGUUUCUCGUCUGCGUCUGUUGCCUCUCUCACUGCUUCCAAGUCGUGUUCAGCAGGGCCAUGUGCAAACUAGCAGAAGAUGGAGUCCACUUGAGAGAAUCCAUCUUCCCUUAAAUAGCCUCCCACGUUUUCGGCGGUACGUUUUCAUUGUGCCGUCUUGUGGCCAAAGAGUGAUAGAGAAAGAUGUCAGAAGCCCUCUGCUAGGUGCCAAGUAUCCAUGUGUGUCCAUGUGCACACAAACACACGCAUGUGUGUGUAUGCAUGUGUGUGCAUGUGUACAUGUGUGUGCAUGUGUAUAUGUGUGUGCAUGCCCGUGCAUUUUUAGAAGAUAAUAUAAUUGGUACCUGGAUUCAUUAAAAUCUCAUGGGAUGAGG